This is a long non-coding RNA of Aedes albopictus (Asian tiger mosquito), 402 nucleotides long. RefSeq lists it as uncharacterized. The transcript is spliced from 3 exons. The record is from RefSeq and is a predicted model, not a curated record. NCBI's taxonomy places the organism in Eukaryota, Metazoa, Arthropoda, Insecta, Diptera, Culicidae.
UUGCGCACGCAACGAACCUCCUACAUUAAAAAUACCUAUCUUCAUUUAUGUUCACCCAGACUGAAGAGGUUUCAUAUAUACACUAGCAUAGGUACACUUCUGAUCGCAAACCUUUUUGACAACGUCAUGCAGAAUGUUUGUCAAAAGCCAUAGUGAAAUAGCAAGACGCACAUGCUAGCUUAAAAAUAGUUUAGCGUUGAUCCUAAAUUGAAUUCGACCGGAGUUAGACAAAUUAAUAUACUACGACAGUCAAUAGCACGACAUCCCACGUUGUGGACAUACAUCUAUUCUAAUUACGUUAAUACACGGAAAUACUAAACGUAAGUACGAGAUAUAAGACAAUUAUAUUAAAAAUAUCGCUAAAGAUGUAUUCCAAGCUAAUAUUAAUGCAAUUUAUGCAGG